UGGGGAAUCUUGCGCAAUGGGCGAAAGCCUGACGCAGCGACGCCGCGUGGGGGAUGAAGCUUCUCGGAGUGUAAACCCCUUUCGACCCGGACGAAACUCCCGCAAGGGAUUGACGGUACGGGUAUAAGAAGCCCCGGCUAACUACGUGCCAGCAGCCGCGGUAAGACGUAGGGGGCCAGCGUUGCUCGGAAUUACUGGGCGUAAAGGGUUCGUAGGCGGUGUGGCAAGUCGGAAGUGAAAUCUCUAGGCUCAACCUAGAGGCUGCUCCCGAAACUGCCAUGCUAGAGUGCAGGAGAGGCGAGUGGAAUUACAGGUGUAGCGGUGAAAUGCGUAGAUAUCUGUAGGAACACCCGUGGCGAAGGCGGCUCGCUGGACCGCAACUGACGCUGAGGAACGAAAGCUAGGGGAGCAAACAGGAUUAGAUACCCCCGUAGUCC
RNAcentral lists this ribosomal RNA (437 nucleotides) under uncultured bacterium. RNAcentral describes it as "bacterial SSU rRNA". It matches the Rfam family "Bacterial small subunit ribosomal RNA", at positions 355 to 796 of the family's 1533-position model. The record is from RNAcentral.